This 390-nucleotide long non-coding RNA is filed under the name Hordeum vulgare. RNAcentral describes it as "long non-coding RNA (HVUL_LNC006420)". Lineage: Eukaryota; Viridiplantae; Streptophyta; Magnoliopsida; Poales; Poaceae. The record is from RNAcentral.
ACCAGAAGAGCAAGACCUUUGAAAACUCUUCAGAUCAUCUUGUUUUAGGAAGGCAUAGGUUCAACCCAUCGGGGCAUCUUAGGAACAUAUACCACAAAAUUCAAGAGUAAUUAACACAUGCGUGAAGAGCAUGGCUGACAAGGGCAUAGGAUACAACUUAUCAGAAGGAGACGAAAAAAUCUACCAAUGGCAUUAUGUAUGAGGGGAACAAUGUCACAAGAAUUUUUGAAAGCAAAGGAUGCCGUCGGAUAAUAACCCAACAAUGGGUUUGACGGUCCACAAAGGACCUCAUGUGAGUGUCGGUACUCAAUCAGAGGGAGGUAAAAUGCAAGGCAUCGGAUUUUAGAACAUCUGAAAAAUAUCGAUACUUAAAUACCAAAGGAAUUAGUC